Molecule: RNA transcript, 4147 nt
Organism: Athalia rosae (coleseed sawfly)
Lineage: Eukaryota; Metazoa; Arthropoda; Insecta; Hymenoptera; Athaliidae
Gene: Cbl
Gene name: E3 ubiquitin-protein ligase CBL-B
Exons: 8
Source: RefSeq, a predicted model, not a curated record
CCAUCGUCGCCGGUCCUCGGUGCGUUUCGUUAAAUUUUCGCUGCUCUCAAGUCUCGGGCUGCAGCAACGCCGCUGAACGAGCCGCGAGCUCUCAGAGCAGCAAAGAAAAUAGUCAAAGGUAAAUUCAGUCGAAGUGAAAAAGUUAACGUCAGUGAUAUUCCACAGUGCUGAAUUAUCGUGUGAUCCUCCUUCAAGUGAUAUGUGGGUUCAGGACAAACUUACUAACAACUAGCUGUUCUUGUUCUUUUUUUCUGUGUCACAUAAAAUCAAGGAGGAUGAGGUCUACCGUGACGUUCUUGUGUCUCGGGUUUGCCUUCGCCUUAGCGUUUGCCUCUGCAAACCAUCUUUCAUCAUCAUUAUCGACAUCACGAGAGGAAAUAUCAUUCUACCUCACAACUGAUUUUUCAUUAAAAGUCAAGUGAAAUAGUCAAAUAACCGUUCGAGAAAAAAAAAACUCUUUCAAGUGUCUCUCGAGCCUCUAUCUCUUUUUUUCUUUCGAACAAUCAAUUCAAAAACCGAAAUGAUCAUCACGGUGUGAAAUGUCAAUUUAGUAACGUUGUUGAAUACAAUUAAUAACGAGGUAGUGCUUUGCAUGGGGUGUAAAGAAAAAAUUUAAUUGAGUAUCAAUCGAACGUAGGUAUAAAUAAAAGAUUAGCAGAAUAAAACAUGGAUAAAUGCUGGUUACAGUUUUUUGGUCAAAUAUUGGCAUAAUGUGUGCGCGAAGAGAUACGGACAUUCUCAACACUAGGGGUUAAGAUUUCCGCGAGUGUCAUUCUUUUGUUUUUAUUUAUUUCUUAUGGAUUUUAAAUUCCGAAGAAAAAAGGAAAUAAGUAAUAGACUGUAAUGUGGUGUAAACGUGCAUUGAAGUGAAUCGGUGGUAGAGAUAAUAAAGAACAGCAACAAUCGAAUUUGAAUAAAUAAAAAAAUACCAAGAGCGAAAGAACACGGCGUCGACGUCGACAUCUACGUCAAGAUGUCGGGUCAGGGUAGCCGAAGUCGUGCGGUCCAUAUAAGUUCGAUAUUUCAAAAGAUUCAGGGUCGUUUUACAGACGCAAUGACACCGCCAAAAUUGUCAACGGACAAAAGGAUGUUGGAUAAAACAUGGAAGUUGAUGGAUAAGGUUGUAAAAUUGUGUCAGCAUCAGAGAAUGAAUUUAAAAAACUCACCGCCCUUUAUACUUGAUAUUUUACCCGACACGUAUCAACGUUUGAGGUUGAUUUACACUAAAUACGAAGAAAAAAUGCAGGUGCUUCAUAGCAACGAACAUUUCUGUGUAUUUAUCAAUAAUUUAAUGAGAAAGUGCAAACAGGCUAUAAAACUUUUCAAAGAGGGAAAGGAAAAGAUGUUCGACGAGGCUUCUCACUACAGAAGAAACCUUACAAAACUUAGCCUUGUUUUCAGCCACAUGCUAUCUGAACUUAAGGCCAUUUUCCCUAACGGUGUUUUCGCCGGUGAUCAAUUCCGCAUCACAAAAUCAGACGCUGCUGAAUUUUGGAAAGAACGAUUCGGAAACAACACGCUCGUACCUUGGAAGGUAUUCAGAUACGAAUUGAAUCAAGUACACGCCAUCAGUUCUGGACUAGAAGCAAUGGCCUUAAAAUCUACUAUAGAUCUCACCUGUAACGACUACAUCUCUAAUUUUGAAUUUGACGUUUUCACCAGACUAUUUCAGCCCUGGUCAACGCUGCUUCAAAAUUGGCAGACAUUGGCCGUGACGCAUCCUGGAUAUGUCGCAUUUCUUACCUAUGACGAGGUUAAGGCUAGACUGCAAAAAUAUUGUAUAACUAAAGCUGGAAGCUACGUCUUUCGAUUAAGCUGUACAAGGCUAGGUCAAUGGGCAAUUGGUUACGUUACAUCGGACGGCGAUAUUCUGCAGACUAUACCCCAUAACAAAAGCCUCAUACAAGCACUGCUUGACGGUUAUCGGGAGGGCUUCUACUUGUUCCCCGACGGUCGUAACGUUAACCCUGACCUCACGUGGGCUGUUCAACCUACGCCGGAGGAGCACAUAAAAGUUACCGCUGAACAGUAUGAACUCUACUGCGAGAUGGGAAGCACAUUUCAGCUAUGUAAAAUAUGUGCGGAACACGACAAAGAUGUCAGAAUAGAACCCUGCGGUCACCUUCUCUGCACACCAUGCCUAACAGCGUGGCAGGUAGAUUCCGAGGGUCAAGGUUGCCCAUUUUGUAGAGCAGAGAUCAAGGGAACAGAGCAAAUAGUUGUGGACCCUUUUGAUCCUCGGCGAACCCAUCGGCCAGGUGCACAUUCGGCUUCUGUCAGUAAUGCUUCCACGCCAACGAGGGACCUUGACCCAGACAACGAGGAUUUGUCGGAAAUUAGUAACGGAAAUUGUGGCCUGAUUUACGACGAGUCGGAUGACGAUGACGACUUCAGCUCUAUGGGUUCGCCACUCCUACCUAGAAGGACAGUUUCGAGCCCUCCACUACCACCAAGAAGAUCUCCGACACCAAAUAGUCACAUAAGAAAUACUCGGCAUUUGACCGUACCGAAUGAAAAUGCUCCUCCACCCCCUUUUGUCACUGUUUUAACGCUGACUGAAAGUCACCAGAACAACACAGCCAACACUGAAGCGAGGUACGACAUGCUGCAUCGAGCAUCUUCUCCAUCUCCGGUACCUCCGGUAAUAAUCAGACCACACGCAAGAGUGUAUCGGCCUCCACCAGCGCUUCCGGAAAGAGCAACCCUUCAUUCCCCGCCAAUAGUUUCACCUGUACCACCUCCCCAGUCUACGCAGCGUCCUCCAAAGCCCAUUAAAGACCCUCACGAACAGGAUCACCAGUAUGAAAAUACGAUAAUAAUACCCGGGACUCGUCAGCACGUCGUUAAAAAUAUAAAUCUGGAAAUGAACAGGGCUAGACUUUCGGCGCUGAUGAGAGGAAGGGAUGAAGCUGGUGGACCUAUUGGUAAAGCGGAAGCUGCUGCUUAUGAAAAUGUUAACGUUGAACAUAUUUCAAGACUCACUGCCCUCGGAUUUGCACAAGAUGCCGUCAUCAGGGCUCUCGGCAUCACUAGAAACGAUCUCGAAAUGGCAAGAGAUAUUCUGCACGAAUUUGCUACAAAGACAAAUUCCUAACAAGGUAGUGUACUACCAGAGCCAAGAGAUUUCAGAACGGAAUCCCCUAGUUAUUAACUUUUUAAUUUGUAUUGAUUCGAAUCAAUCGCACACAUUUUACAAGGUAAAAUUUCUAUUAUCUUUUAUGAUUGUUUCUUAUUAUCAAUCUCAUUAUAUUAUAAUUUUUGUUAUUAUGAUUAUUCCAGGAGAAUCGCUUCUGCUCUUUUUGAACGUCAAAUUAACAUGAUUAUUGUAUCCGAUUUUUUUCUAAUUGGUUUAAAAAACAGAUGAUCCAUUUAUGAUAAUUUUAUUCGCAGAGUUCUGUUAUAAUUCCUUAUUCAAUCUUUUGAUUUUGCCAUUGAAUCCCGGCUGAAAAAAGCUCGUAGAAGUAACUUGGGGUGUGAAGCGAAGAAGAAUUAUUCAAAAAACUGGAAAUGGGACUGGGACGGGAAAUGAAGGUUGGAGGAAGUAUAUGAAUGGAAAAAAGUGACGAAAUAUGAACCAACUGAUCCUAUUUACUACAUUAAAUUCGAGGUAACAAAAAAAAUACCAAACACCACAAAAAACAACACACAUAUGAGUAAAUAAACGAAUAUGCAAAUAUGUAGAUUACUAGGUAUAACAAAAAUAAUUAUGCGAUUAGAGGUACGUACGUAGUAAACGAAUAGGAAACUAAAUGAGAAUCAAUUAGAAUAAUACACGUUAGUAAUAGUUGACUCAAGUAAUAGUUGCUACUAAUUAAAACGUACAAUUUAACUAUUUGCGUGGACUGAUUUUAAUAAAAAAAAGAAAUUAAUAAUUAAAUAGAUGACGGGAAAGAUCAAUGAGGAGAUCAAAUAAUCGCAAACAAUAGAAAUAAUAAAGUUUAUUAAGUGGGUUGAAAAAAAACCACCGAUCGAGCACCCAUGAUUUUUUGCUGAUUCGGAGUUACAAAAACAAGAUGAAAGAAAUAAAAAAAUAAAAGGGUUAAAAUUGAAUUCAAAAUCAUAGGGGUGAUUGAAAAUUUCUAACUCUCUCUUAUCUGUCUUAAUUUUCUCUUUAAUGUAUUUAUAUCAUAUAGCUGCUGUACGUCAA